AUGAGACAGAACGGCAUGGCACACUUAAUAAUCUUCUUGUUCCUUUUCAGAUGCCUUGCAUCGACAACUGAGUGUCGUCUUAUGCAAGGAAGGAGCUACUCAGAUGGGCUUACAAACACAAAUGACGGCAAUGGUACCGUGGUUGACUCGAGCAAGCUUUCCUUGAUAAUCUGCUUCCGAAUAAAGUGUGACGAUGACCGUCGUCGUGUUUGUUACUCCUGCCCGGCCCUGCCGAACAACCCAAAGUAUCCAUCGUUGGACGACUGCAAGGCAGCAUGCCCUGCCUGUAGCCCCAAGUGCACAUCCUAUAAUUAG
This 315-nucleotide ribosomal RNA is filed under the name Triticum aestivum (bread wheat). RNAcentral describes it as "partial small subunit ribosomal RNA". The record is from RNAcentral. Lineage: Eukaryota; Viridiplantae; Streptophyta; Magnoliopsida; Poales; Poaceae.